CAGGUCUGUUUGAUUUAUAGGAGAAGGAAAAUCAUUAUCACCAUUUACAGCCAAAAAAAGUCUUCGAACAACUCCUAAGCAAAGCGUAUCUAAAAUAAAGCUCUAUCUUGAAAUUUCCAGCAUAUUGCAGCAAUUUGCUGCCGAGUAAAACUCAGUCUUCUGCAGAAAAGAGAAUGCUCUGUGGAGAUCUAACUUAUCUGGGAACUUGCUAAGUUUAACUGGAGUCCCUCAAGAAAAUUACCAGGACUUUGGAACAAACACCAGAUCCCUGCAGGAGGAAAGAUGCUGCCUGACCCACUGAGUUCCUCCAGCAGUUUGUUUUUGUGCUCUGAAAUAAUCCAGUCAUUUUCCAUUUCUAUAUUGAGACCUCCACAGCAUGAAACACAGGUAAAACCUGUAGAAUGUUUUGGAAAAU
Molecule: long non-coding RNA, 415 nt
Organism: Pristis pectinata (smalltooth sawfish)
Lineage: Eukaryota; Metazoa; Chordata; Chondrichthyes; Rhinopristiformes; Pristidae
Exons: 3
Source: RefSeq, a predicted model, not a curated record